UCUACCUUGUUACGACUUGGCGAAACCUUCCCUCACUGGCUGCAUCAGCCUGCCUGUUUCAUGGUAGAACGUGGCGAGGACAUAAGGUAGCGAGAUUAGCGUCCACUCCCGGUUGAAGUUGGCUACGUAGUAAUCAAAUGUAGCCUCAAACCCGUUCACCUGCCCCUGAGCCAGGAUCAAACUCUA
This 186-nucleotide ribosomal RNA is filed under the name uncultured bacterium. RNAcentral describes it as "partial 16S ribosomal RNA". The record is from RNAcentral.